This 73-nucleotide transfer RNA is filed under the name Bos taurus (domestic cattle). It matches the Rfam family "tRNA". Rfam says of the family: Transfer RNA (tRNA) molecules are approximately 80 nucleotides in length. Their secondary structure includes four short double-helical elements and three loops (D, anti-codon, and T loops). Further hydrogen bonds mediate the characteristic L-shaped molecular structure. tRNAs have two regions of fundamental functional importance: the anti-codon, which is responsible for specific mRNA codon recognition, and the 3' end, to which the tRNAs corresponding amino acid is attached (by aminoacyl-tRNA synthetases). tRNAs cope with the degeneracy of the genetic code in two manners: having more than one tRNA (with a specific anti-codon) for a particular amino acid; and 'wobble' base-pairing, i.e. permitting non-standard base-pairing at the 3rd anti-codon position. The record is from Rfam by way of RNAcentral. Lineage: Eukaryota; Metazoa; Chordata; Mammalia; Artiodactyla; Bovidae. RNAcentral also lists the same sequence under 3 other names.
UCCCUGAUGGUUCAGUGGUUAAGACUCCAUGCUUUUAAUGCAGAGGGCAUGGGUUCGAUGCCUAGUCAGGGAA